Long non-coding RNA from Aphidius gifuensis, 304 nucleotides. RefSeq lists it as uncharacterized. The transcript has 2 exons. NCBI's taxonomy places the organism in Eukaryota, Metazoa, Arthropoda, Insecta, Hymenoptera, Braconidae. The record is from RefSeq and is a predicted model, not a curated record.
UAUUAUGUGUUGACGUGCUCCUGUUUUACUGUGAAUUUUUCAAUAAUAAAUUGCAACAAUCAAUUGUUAAGUUAUAAUAAAUCGGUUCAUCAACUCGCUGGCUACCUUUUGUGUGAUAAAUUAUUGCUGGAUGUCACGGAUUUUAGCCAAUAAUUGAGAUUGUUUAAAGCGUCCGAAAGCGGCCGGGUCACGAAAGGACACCAUGGGAUUUCAUGACACAAAAUUGCCGCAGAUUUCCUUGAAUAUGUCAAAAGUUAUCAAACCUGGAUGUACGUCUGAGCAUUUACUCCAAAAAUCGCAGCAG